GUGAGGAAUUUUCCGCAAUGGGCGAAAGCCUGACGGAGCAAUGCCGCGUGAAGGAUGAAGGCCUAUGGGUUGUAAACUUCUUUUCUCAGAAAAGAAUUAUGACGGUAUCUGAGGAAUAAGCAUCGGCUAACUCUGUGCCAGCAGCCGCGGUAAGACAGAGGAUGCAAGCGUUAUCCGGAAUGAUUGGGCGUAAAGCGUCUGUAGGUUGUUUAAAAAGUAUUCUGUCAAAGAUUAGGGCUUAACCCUAGAUAGGCAGAAUAAACUUUUAAGCUAGAGUUUGGUAGAGGCAGAGGGAAUGCCCGGUGGAGCGGUGAAAUGCGUAGAUAUCGGGAGGAACACCAAAGGCGAAGGCACUCUGCUGGGCCAAUACUAACACUGAGAGACGAAAGCGAGGGGAGCAAAUGGGAUUAGAUACCCCAGUAGUCC
Molecule: ribosomal RNA, 426 nt
Filed under: uncultured bacterium
Lineage: Bacteria
Description: bacterial SSU rRNA
Rfam family: Bacterial small subunit ribosomal RNA
Source: RNAcentral